Molecule: ribosomal RNA, 611 nt
Filed under: uncultured Alphaproteobacteria bacterium
Lineage: Bacteria; Pseudomonadati; Pseudomonadota; Alphaproteobacteria
Description: bacterial SSU rRNA
Rfam family: Bacterial small subunit ribosomal RNA
Source: RNAcentral
AACGACGCUGGCGGCUGCUCAUACCCGCAGUCGAACGGGGUCUUCGGACCUAGUGGCGCACGGGUGAGUAACAUGUGGGAAUCUACCUAAAGGUUCGGAAUAACUGCGGGAAACUGUAGCUAAUACCGGAUGUGUCUGCAAAGAGAAAGAUUUAUCGCCUUUAGAUGAGCCCGCACUAGAUUAGCUAGUUGGUGAGGUAAAUGCUCCACCAAGGCUACGAUCUAUAGCUGAUUUGAGAGGAUGAUCAGCCACACUGGGACUGAGACACGGCCCAGACUCCUACGGGAGGCAGCAGUAGGGAAUAUUGGACAAUGGGGGAAACCCUGAUCCAGCAAUGCCGCGUGAGUGAAGAAGGCCUUAGGGUUGUAAAACUCUUUCAUCAAUGAUGAUAAUGACAUUAAUUGAAGAAGAAGCUCCGGCUAACUUCGUGCCAGCAGCCGCGGUAAUACGAAGGGGGCUAGCGUUGUUCGGAAUCACUGGGCGUAAAGCGUAUGUAGGCGGAUCAAAAAGUUAGAUGUGAAAUCCCUGGGCUCAAACCAGGAACUGCAUUUAAAACUAGUGAUCUAGAAAUUGGUCAAGGGUUAGUAGAAUUUCCAGUGUAGAGGUGAAAU